Molecule: ribosomal RNA, 465 nt
Filed under: uncultured bacterium
Lineage: Bacteria
Description: partial 16S ribosomal RNA
Rfam family: Bacterial small subunit ribosomal RNA
Source: RNAcentral
CCUACGGGAGGCAGCAGUAGGGAAUCUUCCACAAUGGGCGAAAGCCUGAUGGAGCAACGCCGCGUGGGUGAAGAAGGUCUUCUGAUCGUAAAACCCUGUUGUUAGAGAAGAAAGUGCGUGAGAGUAACUGUUCACGUUUCGACGGUAUCUAACCAGAAAGCCCCGGCUAACUACGUGCCAGCAGCCGCGGUAAUACGUAGGUGGCAAGCGUUAUCCGGAUUUAUUGGGCGUAAAGGGAACGCAGGCGGUCUUUUAAAUCUGAUGGUAAAGCCUUCGGCUUAACCGGAGUAGUGCAUUGGAAACUGGGGGACUGGAGUGCAGAAGAGGAGAGUGGAACUCGAUGUGUAGCGGUGAAAUGCGUAGAUAUAUGGAAGAACACCAGUGGCGAAGGCGGCUCUCUGGGCUGUAACUGACGCUGAGGUUCGAAAGCGUGGGUAGCAAACAGGAUUAGAUACCCCUGUAGUC